AACGAACGCUGGCGGCAUGCCUAACACAUGCAAGUCGAGCGAGACCUUCGGGUCUAGUGGCGCACGGGUGCGUAACGCGUGGGAACCUGCCCUUAGGUUUGGAAUAACUCCCCGAAAGGGGUGCUAAUACCGGAUAAUGUCUUCGGACCAAAGAUUUAUCGCCUUUGGAUGGGCCCGCGUUGGAUUAGCUAGUUGGUAGGGUAAAAGCCUACCAAGGCGACGAUCCAUAGCUGGUCUGAGAGGAUGAUCAGCCACACUGGGACUGAGACACGGCCCAGACUCCUACGGGAGGCAGCAGUGGGGAAUAUUGGACAAUGGGCGAAAGCCUGAUCCAGCAAUGCCGCGUGAGUGAUGAAGGCCUUAGGGUUGUAAAGCUCUUUUACCCGGGAUGAUAAUGACAGUACCGGGAGAAUAAGCUCCGGCUAACUCCGU
Molecule: ribosomal RNA, 432 nt
Filed under: uncultured bacterium
Lineage: Bacteria
Description: partial 16S ribosomal RNA
Rfam family: Bacterial small subunit ribosomal RNA
Source: RNAcentral